This 662-nucleotide ribosomal RNA is filed under the name Rytidosperma merum. RNAcentral describes it as "eukaryotic LSU rRNA". It matches the Rfam family "Eukaryotic large subunit ribosomal RNA", at positions 65 to 732 of the family's 3401-position model. The record is from RNAcentral. Lineage: Eukaryota; Viridiplantae; Streptophyta; Magnoliopsida; Poales; Poaceae.
CUUACAAGGAUUCCCCUAGUAACGGCGAGCGAACCGGGAACARCCCAGCUUGAGAAUCGGGCGGGUAACACCGUUCGAAUUGUAGUCUGGAGAGGCGUCCUCAGCGACGGACCGAGCCCAAGUUCCCUGGAAAGGGACGCCUGGGAGGGUGAGAGCCCCGUCCGGCCCGGACCCUGUCGCACCACGAGGCGCCGUCAACGAGUCGGGUUGUUUGGGAAUGCAGCCCUAAUCGGGCGGUAAACUCCGUCCAAGGCUAAAUACAGGCGAGAGACCGAUAGCGAACAAGUACCGCGAGGGAAAGAUGAAAAGGACUUUGAAAAGAGAGUCAAAGAGUGCUUGAAAUUGCCGGGAGGGAAGCGGAUGGGGGCCGGCGAUGCGCCUCGGCCGUAUGCGGAACGGCUCCGGCUGGUCCGCCGCUCGGCUCGAGGCGUUGACUGUUGUCGGCUGCACCGGCGGCCUAAGUCCGGGGGCUCUAGGUGCCUCCGGUUUCCGUCGUCGGCGCGGCCGGUUACCGCGCGCCGCAAGGCGCGUCCCUCGGGACGCUGCGCUGCAACGGCCAGUGGGCUCCCCAUCCGACCCGUCUUGAAACACGGACCAAGGAGUCUGACAUGCGUGCGAGUCGACGGGUUCUGAAACCUGGGAUGCGCAAGGAAGCUGACGAG